This 69-nucleotide non-coding RNA is filed under the name unclassified sequences. The record is from Rfam.
GAAGCGCGAACCGGGCGGGCGCACAAGCGCCGCAAGGCCCGGAGCUGGCGGAGGCAACCCCGCCAUGCA